This 390-nucleotide ribosomal RNA is filed under the name Triticum aestivum (bread wheat). Its description in RNAcentral is "partial small subunit ribosomal RNA". The record is from RNAcentral. Lineage: Eukaryota; Viridiplantae; Streptophyta; Magnoliopsida; Poales; Poaceae.
GAGCGAUACUACCUGCGUGUAUUGCUAAACCAUGUUACGGGCAAAACAUCCUUCGACGAUUUGCUCACCGUGGACGGCGUGCUAUGUGGCAGCUUUAGAGAGGCUGCUGAACGGUUAGGUCUUAUUGAGGCAGACAGCACGCUCGAUGACUGUCUUAAUGAGGCUAAGCAGUGGGCGAUGCCAUGUUCUCUUAGGAGGCUCUUUGCAACCAUCUUGGUGCACUGCGAGCCAGGCGACGUGCAAGGUUUAUGGGAUAGGCAUCUCGAGCCAAUGUCAGAUGACUAUCGUCGAACACGCACGUCCCCGCACGAGGUGGAGCAGUUGGUGUUGCUUGACAUUAGGGGUAUGUUGCAGUCCAUGGGUAAAGACAUUGUUGAUUUUGCUCUUCCA